This is a long non-coding RNA of Fukomys damarensis (Damara mole-rat), 1704 nucleotides long. NCBI's taxonomy places the organism in Eukaryota, Metazoa, Chordata, Mammalia, Rodentia, Bathyergidae. The record is from Ensembl.
GACCACCCUGGACUGCUGCUGUGGAAGCAGUAACCCCUCCAGCGGGCAGAGAUGUUGCUCACACCAGUGCACAGCUUCUACAACCUAUUGGACAACCUUGCCAAGCUCCAGAAGGACUGUCCCUGGUUACUCCAGCUGAAAAAGAAAGCACCCAGUGGGGUACACAGUUUAGGAAAUGAGUGUUUGAAGUCAAAGACAAAGAUUCUUAUGGGAUCCAUAGAAGAUUCUAAGCUGGCUUCUUUUUGAAAAAAAUACAAGUUUUGCAUGGAAUGUUUAAGCCUACAGAGUCACCAAAUGUAGAAGGCCUGUGAUUCUGAAUUACUAUUUAAAGGGAAACCGUAUGUCAAUCAAGAACACUGAAUCUUAUUCAAAGCAAGCAUAAACUAUGGUGUAUGACAUUGUAUUUUGUUUUUGAUACAUCUGACCCCCAUCUGGCCCCCCUCAGGAAGAGACUGCAGAGAGCCUAAGGUCCUUGAGCUCCGAGAACAAUCACAGCCCAUUCCUGCAUCCUGCAGUCCCCAGUCUAAGCCUGGGAACAACGCCUACCCUGGCUUGAUAUGUCCACCGUCACACACCAGGUACUUCUUUUGGCUGUGUCUGGAGAUCACUGUAAGAGAGGUGGUGCCUGGAGUAAAUAUUUGGAAACUGAUAGGAAAACUGACACCUGAUCAUCUCACUUCUUCCCCUGAAAUCCUGCUGUGGCCUCUCUUUACCCUCUGUGGAAAGUCUGCAGGAACCGCUGCAACCCACUGGCCUCUGGUUCUUUCCCCACUGAAGUCUUCACAAUCUUGCUCUGUAUCUAAACAUCCAGAGGACACCAAACCUGGACUACUUCUCCGGACCCUCCUCCUUGAGCCACAGAGUCCCUGCAGCUGCCUCUGUGACAUCCAGAAUGCUGCCUGUCACACAGCUUGCACACCCCACUCGUGGUUGCUGACUGGACAGUCCAAGGCCCUUUCUGCAUGAGUCAGGGGGAAGAUGUCUACCUUGUCAUCACUCUUUCCUAGCUUCAAACAUAGUCAGCACUGAAUAAACAACACCCUGAACUGUUAAGCCUGUGAAGAGCUGGGAUGCUGAGGCCAACAGAAAUUGAGGCAGGACAACCCUUACCCACCCACUCCACUGUGUCUUUACUCAGCAGUUAUAGGAGAGAUCGCCCGAACAAAACUAAGCCACAAUGAACAGAAGACAUGGAAUUACCUUCAUUUCAUUUAAUGCAUGAAGUGACUGUAGUUAAGUAGUAAACAGUUUAGAUUUCAUGGACCAGGACAAACAAGGACAGAACUUCUGAACUCACAAAUUUUUAACUUCCUCUUUUAUCAACUGCAACAGAGGAGUCUGGCAGAUGCAGUCUGAGCUCAGACUGCAAGUUUUAUUUACUCAGUUAAUUAUUUAACAAGUAUUGCUGACAGCCUGCUACAGACCAGUCAUUGUUAUAGAGAGACUCAAAAUACUAGAACUGGCAGAAUCCCACUCCCUAGAAAUCAGACUCUUGAAGGAGGGCUUUGAGGAUGGAAAAAGAGAGGGGAAAUAAAGAAUGUAGUGAUUUCAAGUAUGAGUAUGUACUAUUAAUACCUGGCCAAGAGGCUGGUAGGUAAUAGAGGGUGGUAAAUGGGAAGAGAAAGACUAGUAUUUUAGAAUGGUCUAACAGAAAAGCUCCUCUGAGAAAAGGACCUUUAAGUGCAAAGUGAGUACAUACAAAGG